This 461-nucleotide ribosomal RNA is filed under the name uncultured eukaryote. Its description in RNAcentral is "bacterial SSU rRNA". It matches the Rfam family "Eukaryotic small subunit ribosomal RNA", at positions 174 to 621 of the family's 1831-position model. The record is from RNAcentral.
GCCGCGAGGCGACGGCGUUCUCGCCGGAUGUAGGAACCGACCCGGGGACCGCCGGGGGCAACCCAGCGCCCCCGAGACGGGGCGAACCACGGUGAAAUGACGGAUCCGUCGGCCCCGCGCCGGCGACUCGCCGAAUGAGUUUCUGACCUAUCAACUCGAGACGGCGGGGUAGAGGCCCGCCGCGGUAACGACGGGUAACGGGGAAUCAGGGUUCGAUUCCGGAGAGGGAGCCCCGAGAAAACGGCUACCACUUCCAAGGAAGGCAGCAGGCGCGCAACUUACCCUAAUCUCGAUUCGAGGAGGUAGUGACAAGAAAUACCGAUGCGGGACCCUACGGGUGCCGCGUUCGGAAUGAGUACGAUUCGAACCACCUAACGACGGAACGAUCGGAGGGCAAGUCUCGGUGCCAGCAGCCGCGGUAAUUCCAGCUCCAAUAGCGUACGUUAAAGUUGCUGCAGUUA